RNAcentral lists this ribosomal RNA (647 nucleotides) under uncultured bacterium. RNAcentral's name for it is "bacterial SSU rRNA". It matches the Rfam family "Bacterial small subunit ribosomal RNA", at positions 110 to 753 of the family's 1533-position model. The record is from RNAcentral.
GUAAUGUCUGGGAAACUGCCUGAUGGAGGGGGAUAACUACUGGAAACGGUAGCUAAUACCGCAUAACGUCGCAAGACCAAAGAGGGGGACCUUCGGGCCUCUUGCCAUCGGAUGUGCCCAGAUGGGAUUAGCUAGUAGGUGGGGUAACGGCUCACCUAGGCGACGAUCCCUAGCUGGUCUGAGAGGAUGACCAGCCACACUGGAACUGAGACACGGUCCAGACUCCUACGGGAGGCAGCAGUGGGGAAUAUUGCACAAUGGGCGCAAGCCUGUUGCAGCCAUGCCGCGUGUAUGAAGAAGGCCUUCGGGUUGUAAAGUACUUUCAGCGGGGAGGAAGGUGUUGAGGUUAAUAACCUCAGCAAUUGACGUUACCCGCAGAAGAAGCACCGGCUAACUCCGUGCCAGCAGCCGCGGUAAUACGGAGGGUGCAAGCGUUAAUCGGAAUUACUGGGCGUAAAGCGCACGCAGGCGGUCUGUCAAGUCGGAUGUGAAAUCCCCGGGCUCAACCUGGGAACUGCAUUCGAAACUGGCAGGCUAGAGUCUUGUAGAGGGGGGUAGAAUUCCAGGUGUAGCGGUGAAAUGCGUAGAGAUCUGGAGGAAUACCGGUGGCGAAGGCGGCCCCCUGGACAAAGACUGACGCUCAGGUG